AAUGAGACUAUAAGACACAAAAAACAGAAACGAUUAGCCAUUAUAUCUGCUGUCUUAUUAUAAUCAUGAUAAGAUUGUCUGAGAAAGAAGGGAGAUUUACUAACUCACGUUUAUGUGUAUGAAGUACUGAAACAUAGUUAAACUAAUUUAUGGGGAAGACCAGUAAGCCAACCAUCAAUAAAAAGCUAUGAAUCUUUUAUUAUAAUAAUUUGAAUCAUUACCUAUUGAACUGUUUUCUCCCAUGGGUUUAUUGUUUUAUAGACAGCGGGUACAACACAGACUCAGACUCAGUCAGGAGGGUUUAUGACUUUUGGAUGUCCUCAUCCCCUCUGUUGGCUCAUUAUGGCAGACGUCAGCGCCUGUAUUUAAGGCUCUAGUGACCUCUUCAAGGCCCCGUAUCUCUCUUCAGGGUGUAGACGACCCCUCCCCUGACGGCCGACCGAAGCCCUGACGAUACACGGGGGAGAAGCCAAGAGGGGAAAAAGGUCUAUAAUGGAGACAAUGCGUUUCACAAUAAUCACCUGCCCGGCUCUCCCCCCGCCGUCCAUUACACAGGGAUCUCUUCCACCGAAACCCUGCAGCGUUUUCUUAGAGGUCAGCUAAGGAACUCAUUUAAAUAGAGAUGCAUUUAUCUGCUUGCGAGUGAAUUAUGGCCUGUCGGAGUGGGGCGCUGCUGGUAGACACCGAUUCCUACUGCUUCCCAAGAUUGCAGAUAGCUGAGAAUCAUGGGGUAUUUAUUGAUCUCUAAGGAGCAUGCGGUGUUGGGCUCAGAAUAAUAAUCUUAUGUGUUUAAUACUGUCAGAGGGGCUGUAUACACUUGGUAUUCACAUCCAUUUCAAGACAUUAAAAUCUGUAAAUAU
This is a long non-coding RNA of Misgurnus anguillicaudatus (oriental weatherfish), 860 nucleotides long. RefSeq lists it as uncharacterized. The record is from RefSeq and is a predicted model, not a curated record. Lineage: Eukaryota; Metazoa; Chordata; Actinopteri; Cypriniformes; Cobitidae.